This 217-nucleotide ribosomal RNA is filed under the name uncultured bacterium. RNAcentral's name for it is "partial 16S ribosomal RNA". It matches the Rfam family "Bacterial small subunit ribosomal RNA", at positions 1284 to 1500 of the family's 1533-position model. The record is from RNAcentral.
GUACUCAGUUCGGAUUGUAGUCUGCAACUCGACUACAUGAAGCUGGAAUCGCUAGUAAUCGCGGAUCAGAAUGCCGCGGUGAAUACGUUCCCGGGUCUUGUACACACCGCCCGUCACACCAUGGGAGUCGGGAAUGCCCGAAGCCAGUGACCCAAGCGAAAGCAGGGAGCUGUCGAAGGCAGGCCGGAUAACUGGGGUGAAGUCGUAACAAGGUAAC